RNAcentral lists this long non-coding RNA (2748 nucleotides) under Homo sapiens (human). Its description in RNAcentral is "HSALNT0381217". The record is from RNAcentral. Lineage: Eukaryota; Metazoa; Chordata; Mammalia; Primates; Hominidae.
CUUCUCUUUCAAGACUCAUGUGAUUAGAGUGGCCCCACCCAGAUUAUCCAGGAUAAUCUCCCCAUCUCAAGGACAAAAAAGCAGUUGUAAAUGUUCAAAAAAAAGAAAAAGAAGUCAGGAAGGUGAGAGUUCAUUAUUUUUGUGCCUAUAGGCAUAGGCUAGCUGAAACUGAGUAUUAAGGAAAUCAUGUAGAAAAUUCAAGUCUCUGCAUUUUCUUUUAGUAAAUUGUAAUAAUUGGACUAUCCCUAACACACCUUUGUUUGUUCCCUCCAGGCCCACUCUCUGUCCCUUUACAGUUUGUUCGCUGUCCAGGCAGCUGACCUGUAUGGGCAUCACCAACGAGCUCCUUUGUCUUGUGGCUUCAAUGUGGGUUAAGACAAUGGAGAGCCCCAGCAGGAGACCAGAGGGAGAAGGGCGGGAAAGGUCAGCCUGACACAUUUUUGUUGAAUCAAUUGACAAAAGAACUGACACCAGAUGGCCAAUCAACUCAAGAGAAAGAUUGCUUGGGUUGCUAUGAGGAAGAGGAGGAGUAAGGCCUGAUGUGGAAAGACCUUUGAGAAGAUGUUGAAAUGAGGCAGAGGAGGAGCUAGGCCUGAUGUGGAAAGACCCUUGAGAAGGCUCCUGCAGUGAUCCAGGUGAGAAAUGGUCCAGUGGCAACAUGGGUCAGAGAGGCAGAAGUGGAGAUGGUGACAAGAUAAUGAGGACAUGUGACAAAUACCAAAUUAACAUGGUGGACAUCAGAAGAGGACAUCUUGGGACAAAGGUCACAGUAGUAAGAAGAAAAGUGUCUAGACUAUGAAAAGUAUUCAAAGAAUAAAGAGGCUUGGUUAAUGGAAGAGGUCCAGCUUUGAAGAAAAGUAUUUUUGUAUAAAUUUUGUGUAGCCCAAGUAUACAGUGUUGAUAAAAUCUACAGUAGUGUAGUCGUGUCCUGGGGCCUCACAUUCACUCACCACUCACUGACUCACCCAGAGCAACUGCCAGUCCUGCAAGUUCCACUCAUGGAACACUGAACUGUGAGUCAGAAUGUUGGGUUGAGAUCUGGCACUGACUGGCUGACACCCUGGGUCUGCCAUUUGUCCUCUCUUGAGCCACCAGCACAACAUAAUGUACUUGAUAAAAGAUGCCACUGUAAACCUGAAAGCCUUUUGCAAGGUAAGACAAGCAAAAUUGAGAAAAGAGGUAAGUGGCGUGUUUUUGGACAAUAAUGACUUUAUCUGAUUUGUGUUCCAAAUCCCAGGUCAAUGGAAUCGACUUUCAAUUCAAUUAACUUUUGAUCCUUAAAUGUAUAUCUGUUUAUUCAUUUUAAUAAAAAAAUUCCUAUUUUUAAAUGUAAAAUUGAGAAGUAUAUGAAUAAGGAACUGCUGCAGUAUGAUGCCUUUGCACCUGGGAAAGGUAAGUGUCAACUGAUCCCAUAAGACUUCUAGAACUGAACAUAGUGUGCCCAGAGAAUUACAGGUACAUAAAUUCAAAUUAAGUUAUCUGGGAUGAUUGGUUUGGAUAUCUCUGCAUCUACUAUGAAUGACAUAAGUGAGGAAACUCAUUGACAAAGGCAGUGCUUAUAUGUGUCAGGAUACAUAGGGUAAAACUGGUGGAGGAUGCAACUUGCAACUUUUAACUAAUAACUUACCUUUUGCUGAACCUGUUGAACUUGGCUAUGCUUAGAAAUAUGAGGGGGAUGCUACAAGGUGGAGUUUUCCUCCCUCUGUCUUCCUAUGGUGAUAAAAAUGAUAGGUACAAAAGAACAAAUGACCCACAUAUUUAAUAUAAAGCCUAUUGGGAUAGAAAUAUGUCAUUUAUUUAUUUUGUUAGUUCAAAAGAGAAGAAUAGACAGUAUUUUUUAAAUUACUGAGCUGGAUUCUUUAGAAUGGGUCCCCAAAUUUACCCUGAUGAAGAGUUGCUCACUUGAAAUCUUUAAGCUGAAUAGUAAAAAAGCAAGAGAGAGGAAGAGGCCUGCGGAGAGUGUUAAGAGUUAGCUGGAUAGUUGGAAGGCCACAGCGGGUGCUUGGGGCCCAGCAAAGAGUACAGCUCUCUUAAUUUCAAAUAAUGAUUAUUUGAAAUUAAUUUCAAAUCAAAUAAUGAUUUACCAUGCUGCAGUUGCAGGAAAUGACAGCUGUGGCCACACAUUUUCCCUCUACCCACCCACAUCAAAAUGCCAAUGAGUUCUACGUCUUGCUCCUUUCUGGUAAUGUAACAGCACUUAAAGCAAGUACUUCAAUAGCUGCAGGCCACCAGAAGGAUGGAGCCCAGAGCCUGCUGUCUUGUGAUUAGUGGGUGGAAGCACAUAUCUCACUGUUACAUCAUGAUCAAACUGCUGCACACUUAAAAAGUUCAAAAUCCAGUGUCUGGACCUCAUUUUUCUAAGAAGGCAUGCUUUAGGUUUUUAUUGAAGGUAAUAUAUUUCUGGAAUAAAAAUGGCAACUAUAGCAUACCAAAAAUAAUGAUAUUGACAAUAACAAUAUCACAAUAACAAUGAAAGUUAAUUGAGCAUUUACUCUUUGAGGGACACCAUACUCAGCAUUAGAAAGCUUAUCUUCUAUAAUUCAAAUAGCAACUCUAUAACAUAGGUGCUAUUUUCAUUAUUUUCAUUUUACAACUGAGAAAAUUAAGGCACAGAGAGAUGAAAUUAUGUGCCUAAGGGACUCACGGCUAAUAGGUGGCAAAAUAAUGAUUUGAAACUUGACUGUUAUUCUCAAAAGCCCAUGAGCACCAUCUUUCUAGACUUAAAAACUAAAUUGUCUUUCUCUUAUU